AGCGGAUUGGUGUAGAGGUAACAUAUUAGGCUCAUAUCCUAAAGAUAGCAGGUUCGAGUCCUGCAUCCGCCU
This 72-nucleotide transfer RNA is filed under the name Paludibacteraceae bacterium. RNAcentral describes it as "tRNA-Met". It matches the Rfam family "tRNA". From Rfam's summary of the family: Transfer RNA (tRNA) molecules are approximately 80 nucleotides in length. Their secondary structure includes four short double-helical elements and three loops (D, anti-codon, and T loops). The record is from RNAcentral. Lineage: Bacteria; Pseudomonadati; Bacteroidota; Bacteroidia; Bacteroidales; Paludibacteraceae.